RNAcentral lists this ribosomal RNA (716 nucleotides) under uncultured bacterium. RNAcentral's name for it is "bacterial SSU rRNA". It matches the Rfam family "Bacterial small subunit ribosomal RNA", at positions 51 to 766 of the family's 1533-position model. The record is from RNAcentral.
ACACAUGCAAGUCGAACGAGAAUCUACUGAAAGAGUUUUCGGACGAUGGAAGUAGAGGAAAGUGGCGGACGGGUGAGUAACGCGUGAGGAACCUGCCUUGAAGAGGGGGACAACAGUUGGAAACGACUGCUAAUACCGCAUGAAGCAUAGGGGUCGCAUGAUUCUUAUGCCAAAGAUUUAUCGCUUCAAGAUGGCCUCGCGUCUGAUUAGCUAGUUGGCGGGGUAACGGCCCACCAAGGCGACGAUCAGUAGCCGGACUGAGAGGUUGAACGGCCACAUUGGGACUGAGAUACGGCCCAGACUCCUACGGGAGGCAGCAGUGAGGAAUAUUGGGCAAUGGGCGCAAGCCUGACCCAGCAACGCCGCGUGAAGGAAGAAGGCUUUCGGGUUGUAAACUUCUUUUGUCAGGGACGAGUAGAAGACGGUACCUGACGAAUAAGCCACGGCUAACUACGUGCCAGCAGCCGCGGUAAUACGUAGGUGGCAAGCGUUGUCCGGAUUUACUGGGUGUAAAGGGCGUGUAGCCGGGAGGGCAAGUCAGAUGUGAAAUCCACGGGCUCAACUCGUGAACUGCAUUUGAAACUACUCUUCUUGAGUAUCGGAGAGGCAAUCGGAAUUCCUAGUGUAGCGGUGAAAUGCGUAGAUAUUAGGAGGAACACCAGUGGCGAAGGCGGAUUGCUGGACGACAACUGACGGUGAGGCGCGAAAGCGUGGGG